UACGUAGGGUGCGAGCGUUAAUCGGAAUUACUGGGCGUAAAGGGUGCGCAGGCGGUUCUGCAAGUCAGGCGUGAAAUCCCCGGGCUUAACCUGGGAAUGGCGCCUGAAACUACGGGACUGGAGUAUGGCAGAGGGAGGUGGAAUUCCACGUGUAGCGGUGAAAUGCGUAGAGAUGUGGAGGAACACCGAUGGCGAAGGCAGCCUCCUGGGCCAAUACUGACGCUCAUGCACGAAAGCGUGGGGAGCAAACAGG
This 253-nucleotide ribosomal RNA is filed under the name uncultured bacterium. RNAcentral describes it as "partial 16S ribosomal RNA". It matches the Rfam family "Bacterial small subunit ribosomal RNA", at positions 524 to 776 of the family's 1533-position model. The record is from RNAcentral.